Mycena latifolia is the source of this 93-nucleotide non-coding RNA. The record is from the annotation of a GenBank genome assembly. Lineage: Eukaryota; Fungi; Basidiomycota; Agaricomycetes; Agaricales; Mycenaceae.
GGACUGGUGGUGUAGUGGUAACACACCCGCUGUCAUUACCCUUGUUGUCGACGAUUUCAGCGGGAGACCCUUGUUCGAGUCAAGGUCAGGCCA